RNAcentral lists this long non-coding RNA (292 nucleotides) under Phoenix dactylifera (date palm). RNAcentral's name for it is "long non-coding RNA (PDAC_LNC010257)". Lineage: Eukaryota; Viridiplantae; Streptophyta; Magnoliopsida; Arecales; Arecaceae. The record is from RNAcentral.
AUUGAACGAUUCUAAAAUAGUUGUGGAGAAUUUUGAUAGUUAUCCUUCUAUGAAAUCUUAAUUUAUUAUGCUCAUUCAUCUCAAAACCUACUUGCUCAUGAAUUACACAUUUUUUUUUGAUAAAAAGUAAUUAUGCAUAACUUUUGCUGAGCCUAUGACGCCUUUACUGGCUUAAGCCACAAGAAGGACGAAGGAAUAGUAACAUAUGUUUUUAUAGUAUCUUGUUCUUAUAUAGCUCCAAAUUCUCCUUGGAGGUGAAUGUGCAAAAUUUGGGUAUCAAAGAGAGAACUCU